UAAAUGCUGUCCGAGCAGGUGUC
Molecule: non-coding RNA, 23 nt
Filed under: Rattus norvegicus (Norway rat)
Lineage: Eukaryota; Metazoa; Chordata; Mammalia; Rodentia; Muridae
Source: RNAcentral